Molecule: long non-coding RNA, 230 nt
Filed under: Elaeis guineensis (African oil palm)
Lineage: Eukaryota; Viridiplantae; Streptophyta; Magnoliopsida; Arecales; Arecaceae
Description: long non-coding RNA (EGUI_LNC043910)
Source: RNAcentral
UUAUGCAUGAAUUUGAUAAGUACUUGACUGCAUCCAGAAACCUUCUGUUACUAAAUUAAAAAUUUAGAUAAUCCAGUACCAAAGUAUAGUGAGUUGUUUGCAAGUCAUCGUGGUGAUCUCAGGUCGGAGGGACACUUAUACCCAUACUCUUCGCGAGCAACUCUUGAUAGUAGAGUCUUCGUAGUUGGUCACAUUCAGUGAUGAUAUACUCUUACAUCUCAUCUAUAUGC